This 320-nucleotide ribosomal RNA is filed under the name uncultured bacterium. RNAcentral describes it as "bacterial SSU rRNA". It matches the Rfam family "Bacterial small subunit ribosomal RNA", at positions 470 to 789 of the family's 1533-position model. The record is from RNAcentral.
UGACGGUACCUGUUGAAUAAGCUCCGGCUAACUACGUGCCAGCAGCCGCGGUAAUACGUAGGGAGCAAGCGUUAUCCGGAUUUACUGGGUGUAAAGGGCGUGUAGGCGGAACUGCAAGUCAGAUGUGAAAACUGAGGGCUCAACCCUCAGCCUGCAUUUGAAACUGUAGUCCUUGAGUGUCGGAGAGGUUAACGGAACUCCUAGUGUAGCGGUGAAAUGCGUAGAUAUUAGGAAGAACACCAGUGGCGAAGGCAGCUGACCAGGCCGUAAAUGACGCUCAUGCACGAAAGUGCGGGGAUCGAACAGGAUUAGAUACCCUG